CUUUUAAAGGGCCGCGGUAAUUUGACCGUGCGAAGGUAGCAUAAUCAUUAGCCACUUAAUUAGUGGAUGGAAUGAAAGGUUGGAUGAGGGAUAAGCUGUCUUUUAAUAAAGCUAGAAUUUUACUUUUAAGUGAAAAGGCUUUAAUUUUAUAAAGUGAAGAUAAGACCCUAUAAAACUUCAUAGAACUUUGAUUAUAGUAAUUUUAUUGUGUAAAAAAUAAUACAAUCAUUUUUUAUUUUGUUGGGGCGACAGGAAUAGAAUCUGUAUCUGUUUUUUUAAAGUGUUAAUAAUUGUUAAUUUAUGAUCCUUUAAUAAAGAUUAAAAGAUUAAGUUACUUUAGGGAUAACAGCGUGAUUUUCUUUGAGAGUUCUUAUCGACAAGAUUAGUUGCGACCUCGAUGUUGAAUUAAAAUUAUUCUAAUAAGUGCAGUAGCUUAUAUAGUAAGUCUGUUCGACUUUUAAAAUUUUACAUGAUCUGAGUUCAAACCGGAGAUG
RNAcentral lists this ribosomal RNA (494 nucleotides) under Palaemonella tenuipes. RNAcentral's name for it is "partial large subunit ribosomal RNA". It matches the Rfam family "Bacterial large subunit ribosomal RNA", at positions 1920 to 2624 of the family's 2925-position model. The record is from RNAcentral. Lineage: Eukaryota; Metazoa; Arthropoda; Malacostraca; Decapoda; Palaemonidae.